AGUGUUAUGAUGAUUAGCAUAAAUAUGUUCAACUGCUCUGAUGUGUGAGUGAGAGCUGCUUUUCUGAACAACA
This 73-nucleotide small nucleolar RNA is filed under the name Cynoglossus semilaevis (tongue sole). RNAcentral's name for it is "Small nucleolar RNA Z40 (ENSCSEG00000015354.1)". The record is from RNAcentral. Lineage: Eukaryota; Metazoa; Chordata; Actinopteri; Pleuronectiformes; Cynoglossidae.